Molecule: long non-coding RNA, 1953 nt
Filed under: Podarcis lilfordi (Lilford's wall lizard)
Lineage: Eukaryota; Metazoa; Chordata; Lepidosauria; Squamata; Lacertidae
Source: RNAcentral
ACCACUGUAAUCCUGCUAAUGUCUUAAUUUGUUCGUAAAUAUUCAAUAAACAAUUUCCAUUCCUUAUUAAAAGUUUUGUUGUCUUGAUUUCGUAUUCUUCCGAUAAGUUUUGCCAUUUCUGUAUAUUCCAUUAGUUUCUGUAGCCAUUCUUCUCUCAUUGGGACUUUGUCUUCUUUCCAUUUUGGGGCAAAUAUUCUUGCAGCGGUAGUUGCAGGGAAUUCGCAAAUUUCAUGAUCUAACAGGACCAAAGUGAUUCUUUUUCAUGGGUGCUUCCAGAUUGGGUCAGGGCUUCUCAUGCAUAGCAGCCCCCCCCCCAGUGUCUGCACUAUAUUGUUGGUUUCAAAAUGCCUGCCCUCCCAAUUUAUCUGAAUUUAUGCCUUUUGGGGGGAAAUCCAGUAAUACAGACAUGCUACCUGUUUCUGAUUAUAUCAACAACCUAUUUGCAAAUUAAGCUCCUCUCGGGAGGCACCCAGAACUACUGGAUCACAUGGUUUUCCUGGAGCGUCUGAUUUUGGGCAGCCCAGUUUAGUGCCACUUCAUUACCUAGAGCUUGCAGUGAAGUGCAUCACAGCCAACAAAAGGGGUCUUUAUUUCUAUUACCAACAUUUAUAUUCUUCCCCUUCAAUGUCAGCUGGCAUUUCCAGGGUGGCAAAGGGAGACGAGGAGCAACAAUAGCAGGAAGUGAUGAGUUUGACUUUUCCUACAGAGGCAUUUAAAUUACAGAGGCUGCAGUUCUAUACCUACUGACAUGGGAUUAAGCCUCAUUAAGGAAAGGGGAGUUUACUUCUGAGUAGACAUGUACAGGAUUGUGCAGUUACAGGAUCAGUCCUUUGUUUAUUUACUCAGAAAUAUGUCCUACUGGAUAUAAUGUACCUGACUUCUCAGUAAAUGUGCCUACGACUGCAGACGUGGCUCUUUACUCAGUGUUAAUGCUGAUUUCACACAAGCCUUGUAAAAAUGUAAAAAGAUUUAGCAACAGUGAAGUCUGCCUUAGGUUCUCAAUUUACAGGUGUGAUAGUCCCUCCCCCCCCUUCACUACAGCAGUUACACACUUUUGUGUUUGCAAUCUCUUAGGAAGGAGAGGAGAAAUACCAACCCCAAAUACUAAUGAGCUACUGAGUUGCUGUCUAAUGAUUUCUAAUAAAGAGAUAAUUGUCUUGAAAAAGACAAAUGUUCAAAAUACAAUGAUAAGGUUGGUGGGUGGAGAGAACAAUUCUUUGCUUCAAAGCAAUGCUUGAAUAUAUUGUGGCAUAUAAGGCUUAAAGAUGCGUAUAUUUAAUCCUCGAGCCAUGUAAUGGCAUUUUCUUGGUCAGAUAAUUCAUCAUGUUAAAAACUUUAGUCAUUGGAAGCGCUGUGUUUUAUUUCAAGCAUCAAAGCCCACUUACAUCAGAAUGAACGAAAAGUGUUGUCAUUGCCAAAUGGUUAUUGUUUUAAGCAGGUCUGUUGAUUAUCAUUGGAAAUGACUUGCUAAAUACAUUUUGAUUAAUCACUUGCAAAAAUUAUGCUUGUUAGAGCUGCUUUCUAUUCUGUUCUCAGCGUAGGUUAUAUAGCUUGCUUCCUUUACAACUGGGAUGCGUAAGCCACCCCUCCCCCGCUCUUUAAAGUUACCUGGUGAGAAAGGAAAACAAAUCCUAGUCUAAAGCUUUUGUCUAAAAACCCUGGUUCCCUUUUUAAACACACACGCACACAAUUAUUGUCUGUGCCAUACAGGAAAGAAUGGAGCCUAUAUAUCAGACCUGGACAUUUUCCGACAGGAGAUGGCUUUUGUUUUUGCACCCCGUCAACACCGAUCACCUAAUUAAAUCUGAUAUCUCUGGCUGCCACAAAAUAAUUUGUUAAUAGUUCUUUGGGAAUUUACUUAAUGAGUUUAGAUGUCUUUUGUAUGGUACAUGUGGGGGCAUUUUGGAAAAUGGAGCUGAGCGGGGGAAAUGGGGGCAAAGCAAAGAGGAGUUC